This 514-nucleotide ribosomal RNA is filed under the name uncultured bacterium. Its description in RNAcentral is "partial 16S ribosomal RNA". It matches the Rfam family "Bacterial small subunit ribosomal RNA", at positions 30 to 523 of the family's 1533-position model. The record is from RNAcentral.
AUUGAACGCUGGCGGCGUGCCUAAUACAUGCAAGUCGAGCGAACUGAUUAGAAGCUUGCUCCUAUGACGUUAGCGGCGGACGGGUGAGUAACACGUGGGCAACCUGCCUGUAAGACUGGGAUAACUUCGGGAAACCGAAGCUAAUACCGGAUAGGAUCCUCUCCUUCAUGGGAGAUGAUUGAAAGAUGGUUUCGGCUAUCACUUACAGACGGGCCCGCGGUGCAUUAGCUAGUUGGUGAGGUAACGGCUCACCAAGGCAACGAGGCAUAGCCGACCUGAGAGGGUGAUCGGCCACACUGGGACUGAGACACGGCCCAGACUCCUACGGGAGGCAGCAGUAGGGAAUCUUCCGCAAUGGACGAAAGGCUGACGGAGCAACGCCGCGUGAGUGAUGAAGGCUUUCGGGUCGUAAAACUCUGUUGUUAGGGAAGAACAAGUACAAGAGUAACUGCUUGUACCUUGACGGUACCUAACCAGAAAGCCACGGCUAACUACGUGCCAGCCGCCGCAGUAA